GUGCGCCAAGGGCCCAAAGGGGAGUCAGCGGCCUGGGUCCUGGGAAGGGGCAGGCAGGGGGGGGGGGGGGGCGUCAGCCCACGUGCUGGGGGUGGGGGCCAGGGAAACAAUGAGGCCUUUGGUGAUUGUGCAGGAUCCACCCCCAGCUUCCCAGUGUGUCCCCUCUGUGGGCUGGAUCCCCGUGGCGGCGGCUUGGGGGGCGGGGCUGGGGGCCCUGAAUGGGCCCCUUGUCUCAGCGCUGGGUGUGGGCCAGGUUCCCCGGGCACACGGUGCCCUCGCCAGGCCUGGCCGGCCUCCGUGGCUUCCACCCUCCGCUGGCUGAGGACCGGCCCUGUGGGUGAGCCGGGCCCCUCCCUGACAGCCUGGGCUGGGCUCCCACCCCGGGCAGCAGAGGCAGGUAGGGAGAAGGACCCCAUCUAGUGGGGAAGGGGGGAAAGCAGCAGCCUCCGCUCAGAGCACCCGGGGCCCCAGACUAAAGGGGCCCCGUGAAGAGUGGGAUACUGGAGGCCGCCCCAGGUUGGACUUCCCGCCCUAUAGCUCCCUAGAUUUAUGACAGGUUCUUUGUGUUGUCUGCACCUCAGCUUCCUCGUGGGUAAAAUACCUACGGGAGGGCCGCUCCGCUGGUUACGUGACAUCAUACGUGGGGAAUGUCCAGGGAGGACCAGGAGCUCAGGAGCCCUCCCUCCUCCAUCAAGGCCUGCUUAGUUUCCCUCCCCUGGACCUGGGGGAAGGAGGGCUGAGGGCACAGGGAUUGGCUCCGCGGGUCCUGGAAGGGCCUCGGGGGUUGGGGUCAGGGCCAGGCAGGCUCUCACAAUGGGCUAGAACUCUGCCUUCCUCUGAGUUCUCAUCCACUUUGACUCCUCUCCCUGUCUCAGGGAGGGGAGGAAAGACUUAGGAUGAGUCGUCGGUGAAGGCUUUCCCCCUGGAUUCUCUCUUUCUUUCUUCUUGGCUGUGCCUGAAGCUCCUGAGAGACCCCUCAGGUGGUGGCCACUGGCCUGCAGCCUGUUCCCCUCCCCCCUUUGUACCAAAUGCUUGUCCUGCCCCCUGCUUGGUGUUCGUGUAUUGGGAGAAAUGGCUGUGGUAAUGCGGUUCUUCCGAUGGAUUUGGCAAAAGAUUACUCGCUGGGUUUUCUUCUGGAAACACAAAGCUAAGUCAACCGUCUUGGAACACCAUGACUCCCAGAAAAGUGUAGUGAAGGUGGAGAAGAGUCCCAAGGUGAUUGAGACUUUGAAGUUGGUUGAGCCCUGCGAAGAGGCUAAGGUCUCCAAGACGGCGGAGACCCCCAAGGUGGCUGAUCCCUUCACGUUGGUCAAAUCAACAGAUAAGGGUGAGGUGGCACAGAAACGUGUGGGCCGGUCCCUGCUGCAGCUGCCCUGGACAGCUGUCAAGUCUGUCUCCACACUCAUGGUCUCGACCCUGCACAGUGGCUGGCAAAUGUGCAGCUGGAAGUCCUCUGUGAGUUCUACCUCCAUUUCCUCCCAGAUGAGGCCUGGGUCCCCUCUGGAGACGCCGGAGGCUGAGAUGCUGCGGGAAGUGCACCUAAUAUUGUGGGCCAUCCGGAAACAGCUACAGCAGCUUGCUCGCAGGCAGGAGAGGCGGAGGCGGCGCCACAUCCGGGUCCACACUGGCCCCCAACCUGACACAGUUCAGGGCCUGAAACAGGAUGCCCGGAGUCCCCUCUAGGGGGGAGCCCCACAUCCUCCAAAAAGCCCCACCUCACUCUUAGCAGGUGCAUCUGGCAUCCAGAUUCCACGGCCGCACUUGGCUUUCUGCAGGAGCCUGGCCCAAGGUUCCUGAAGCUACCACUACAGUAAAGGAAACGAACAGUUCCAACACCAAAGGAUCUCUGCAGGAAAGCCUGCAGAGUGUUUCACCCCAGAGAUCCUCGGGAGCAUUUUGUGUGUGUUAAAUGCGGCCAGCUAUGCAUUCCACCUGAUCUUCCACAGCAGUUUCUGGUCCGCUUUCGCUUGGCGCCGCUCUCCCCCGUGCGGUCCGAACCGCCGCCGGCCGCCGCAGCACCUAGCGAGAAGCCCGCGGCACCGCAGGACCUGGGGGCGCCCGCGCAGCAGAGCAGCCUGGCUUU
Molecule: RNA transcript, 2083 nt
Organism: Mirounga angustirostris (Northern elephant seal)
Lineage: Eukaryota; Metazoa; Chordata; Mammalia; Carnivora; Phocidae
Gene: SPACDR
Gene name: sperm acrosome developmental regulator
Exons: 7
Source: RefSeq, a predicted model, not a curated record